AGAGUUUGAUCCUGGCUGAGAGUGAACGCUGGCGGCGUGCUUAACACAUGCAAGUCGAACGAGAACGGGUUAAAGCUUGCUUUAACUGUCAGCUAAGUGGCGCACGGGUGAGUAAUAUAUAGGUAACGUGCCUUCAAGAAGGGGAUAACAAUUGGAAACGAUUGCUAAUACCCUAUAUGCCUUUAAGUCUUAAGACUGCAAGGGAAAUAUUUAUAGCUUGAAGAUCGGCCUGUACAGUAUCAGUUAGUUGGUGAGGUAAUGGCUCACCAAGACAAUGACGCUUAACUGGUUUGAGAGGAUGAUCAGUCACACUGGAACUGAGACACGGUCCAGACUCCUACGGGAGGCAGCAGUGGGGAAUAUUGCACAAUGGACGAAAGUCUGAUGCAGCAACGCCGCGUGGAGGAUGACACAUUUCGGUGCGUAAACUCCUUUUAUAUAGGAAGAUAAUGACGGUACUAUAUGAAUAAGCACCGGCUAACUCCGUGCCAGCAGCCGCGGUAAUACGGAGGGUGCAAGCGUUACUCGGAAUCACUGGGCGUAAAGAGAAUGUAGGCGGGUAGAUAAGUUUGAAGUGAAAUCCAAUGGCUCAACCAUUGAACUGCUUUGAAAACUGUUUACCUAGAAUAUGGGAGAGGUAGAUGGAAUUUCUGGUGUAGGGGUAAAAUCCGUAGAGAUC
RNAcentral lists this ribosomal RNA (679 nucleotides) under uncultured bacterium. RNAcentral describes it as "bacterial SSU rRNA". It matches the Rfam family "Bacterial small subunit ribosomal RNA", at positions 8 to 698 of the family's 1533-position model. The record is from RNAcentral.